UAGUUAAUGAACUUGUAUAUAAGUAUAUGUUUUGAAAACAUAAAAAAGAUUAAAUCUAUUAACU
Molecule: transfer RNA, 64 nt
Filed under: Coleoptera sp. ACP-2013
Lineage: Eukaryota; Metazoa; Arthropoda; Insecta; Coleoptera
Description: tRNA-Ser
Source: RNAcentral